RNAcentral lists this transfer RNA (76 nucleotides) under Rhodanobacter sp. RNAcentral describes it as "tRNA-Phe". It matches the Rfam family "tRNA". From Rfam's summary of the family: Transfer RNA (tRNA) molecules are approximately 80 nucleotides in length. Their secondary structure includes four short double-helical elements and three loops (D, anti-codon, and T loops). RNAcentral also lists the same sequence under 4 other names. Lineage: Bacteria; Pseudomonadati; Pseudomonadota; Gammaproteobacteria; Lysobacterales; Rhodanobacteraceae. The record is from RNAcentral.
GGCCAAGUAGCUCAGUUGGUAGAGCAGAGGACUGAAAAUCCUCGUGUCGGUGGUUCGAUUCCGCCCUUGGCCACCA